RNAcentral lists this unclassified non-coding RNA (344 nucleotides) under soil metagenome. RNAcentral describes it as "partial contains 5.8S ribosomal RNA, internal transcribed spacer 2, and large subunit ribosomal RNA". The stretch from base 1 to 119 matches the Rfam family "5.8S ribosomal RNA", at positions 35 to 154 of the family's 154-position model. The record is from RNAcentral.
GAUGAAAACGUAGUGAAAUGCGAUACGUAAUGUGAAUUGCAGAAUUCAGUGAAUCAUCGAGUCUUUGAACGCACAUUGCGCCCCCUGGUAUUCCGGGGGGCAUGCCUGUCCGAGCGUCAUUGCUGCCCUCAAGCACGGCUUGUGUGUUGGGCCUCCGUCCUCCUCCCGGGGGACGGGCCCGAAAGGCAGCGGCGGCACCGCGUCCGGUCCUCGAGCGUAUGGGGCUUCGUCACCCGCUCUUGUAGGCCCGGCCGGCGCUUGCCGACACAUCAAUCUUUUUUCCAGGUUGACCUCGGAUCAGGUAGGGAUACCCGCUGAACUUAAGCAUAUCAAUAAGCGGAGGA